Alexandromys fortis (reed vole) is the source of this 2561-nucleotide long non-coding RNA. RefSeq lists it as uncharacterized. The transcript is spliced from 6 exons. The record is from RefSeq and is a predicted model, not a curated record. NCBI's taxonomy places the organism in Eukaryota, Metazoa, Chordata, Mammalia, Rodentia, Cricetidae.
UUUCCUCUCUCUCUCUCUCUGUCUAUUUUCUCCUCUCUCCCUUUUCCCAUUCCCUUCCCUCUCCCCAAUAAAACCCCUUACAUAAGCUCUGCUUGCGCGUUUGCCCCCUUUCCACUCCUGGCCCAGCAGACCACACUUUCUCCCCCUUACCCUGUCUCUAAUGCACUCCUGUGUGACGAUGUUGACCUCUGUGGUUGAUUCAUCACACCACAGCCCCAGCCUAUCAACAGCAAAAUGUACUUCAGAAGUUUUCCAAACUUUUGUUCCUUUCCAGGUCUUCUGCACAAAACUGAUGUCCCUGGCAAUCCCACAGGACUUUUGAGCUGGCUAACAAACUGUUAAAACUACAGCAUCAGAAAAGAAGGGAGUCUGGGUGGCCUAAGAAAUGAACAAGCAGCCACCUACUACAUUCACUAUCUUGACUGAAGGUCAGAGAGUUUAAGCCUGCUCUUGCUCUUUUAAGAUUAUUUACAAGAGUUCUGACUUAAGGCCAGAAGAGGGCACCAGACCCCAUUACAGAUGGUUGUGAGCCACUAUGUGGUUGCUGGGAAUUGAACUCAGGACCUUCGGAAGAGCAAGCAAUCCUCUUAACCUCUGAGCUAUCUCUCCAGCCCCAAACAAGAUAUCUUGACCUAGGAUAUGGUUAUUUAGUGUCUUGGAUAUUGAAAUGACUCACAGAGUUGGAUCCAUUCCACCUUGACCAAAGAGACCCCUACCCUGAAAUAUGAGAACCCCAUUGAGGCUGGACCCCAACAGAUGGGACCCCAAUGUGGGACCCCAACAUCCAUACCUGUGUCAGAGAGUAUCAGUGGCUAAGCUUUGGAGUAUGCUUCUUUGGGAUUCCAGCAUAUACUGAAGACCAGCUGAGAUACUCAGUCUCAUGGACCCAGCAACAAUGGUCAGCUGGAGCUGAAUAAUUGGUGAUGAAGAGGAGACCGGCAUCAAUGAGGUGAAAUCUUCUGGGAAAUGUUUGCUGCAAGAACAUGGAGUCUAUGUUCCAAACAUGGCUAAGGCUGUAGCUCCUUCUGGCAGUUAAACUUGGUAGUGUAAGAGUUACCCUGGUGGUAUUGGUUUUAGAGGCAUGAAAAGGACAUGAAGAGCUUCUUCAAAAAGGUUGGUCUCAAAAUUACACUAGAAAGAAAUAAAACAAAAGUCAAUUUUUCAAUAGCAGGGAUAUAUUGUGGAUAGAUGUACACUACACCCUCAAAAGCUAUAACUUCAAACAUCAUCCUUUAAAACGUGAAAUAAGCUGGGCAAGGUGAUGUAUGUCUUUAAUCCCAGCCCUGGUCAAAGAGGCAGAUGGAUCUCAUUGAGUUCUAGACCAGCCUAGUCUACAAACUGAGUUUCAGGACAGCCAGAGCUGUUACACAGAGAAACAUUGCCUGGAAAACUAGAUAGAUAGAUAGAUAGAUAGAUAGAUAGAUAGAUAGAUAGAUAGAUAGAUAGAUGAUAGAUAGAAAAAUAGAUAGAUGUAAGAGCAGCCACAUUGUAAAAGAAAUAUUACUAAAGCUUAAAUCACACAUAGAACCCCACACAAUAAUAGUGAGAAACUUUAACACCCCACGCUCACAAAUGGAUAAGUCAUCCAGACAGAAACUAAACAGAGAAAUAGCAGAACAGAUUUUAUGAAUCAAAUGAGCAUAAGAGAUAGUUUAACAUUUCACACAAACACAAAAUAAUAUACCAUAUACUCAGCCACAAAGCCAGUCUCAACAGAUACAAAAAAAAACUGGAAUAACCCUGAUAUCUUAUCAGACCACCAUGGAGUAAAGAUGAAUUUCAACAACAACACAAACUACAGAAAGCCUACAAACUCGUGGAAACUGAACUACUCUCUACUGACUUACUACUGGGUCAAGGAAGAAAUAAGUUAAAGCCUUAUUAGAGUUCUAUGAAAAUUAAUUCACAGCAUACCCAAAAUUAUGAGACACAAUGAAUGCGGCACUAAAAAGAAAGUUCAUAACACUGAGUACCUUGAUGAAGAUUUUGGAGAGAUCCCAUACCAGUGACUUAACAGCACACAUGAAAGGUCUAGAACAAAAAAAGAGACACACCUAAGAAAAGUAGAAGACAGGAAAUAAACUGAAGGCUGAAAUCAAUAAAAUAGAAACAAAGAGGACAAUCCAAAGAAUCAAUGAAAUAAAGAUUUGGUUCUUUGAGAAAAUCAACAAAAUAGAUAAACCCUUAUCAAAAAUAAGUAAAAGUCAGAGAAUAUACAAAUCAACAAAAUCAGGAACAACAAAAAAAGGAAGACUUAACAUGAGACUCCUAGGAAGUUCAGAGGAUCAUUAGGUCAUACACCAAAAACCUGUACUCCACAAAAUUAGAAAAUCUAAAAGAAAUGAACAAAUUUCUUAAUAGAUACCACUUACCUAAGUUUAAUCAAGAGCACAUAAACAAUUUGAAAAGAUAUAUAACCCCUAAGGAAAUAGAAGCAGUUAUUAAAAGUCUUCCAAACAAAAAGAAAAAAAAAGCCCAAGGCCAGAUGGUUUUAGUGCAAAAUUCUUCUAGACUGUCGAAGAGAUGAUAACAGUACUCUUCAAAUAACUCACAAAAUAGAA